Molecule: ribosomal RNA, 201 nt
Filed under: uncultured Glomeromycotina
Lineage: Eukaryota; Fungi; Glomeromycota
Description: partial 18S ribosomal RNA
Rfam family: Eukaryotic small subunit ribosomal RNA
Source: RNAcentral
AGCAGCCGCGGUAAUUCCAGCUCCAAUAGCGUAUAUUAGUGUUGUUGUGGUUAAAAAGCUCGUAGUUGAAUUUCGGGAUUGGGAUAUAUCGAUCGUGCCUUUAGGGGCAUGAAACGGUGUGUAGCCAAUUUCUCACCUUCUGGUGAGUCGGGAUGCUCUUGGGUGUUUCGAUGAAUCAGGACCUUUACUUUGAAAAAUUAG